UGCGUUAUGUGUGUGCCGCACUCUCUGAGUCUUCUACAGGACUCAAAGAUCUAAGAAAACACUUAUUACGCUUUGCCAAGGAUUUUCUUUUUCGCUUUUGUUUACAUUUUAUUUUAAUUUUGGAACGCGAAAGAGUUUAUUUGGAGCACGGCUUUUCUAGUUCUGUUUUUGUUUUUUUUUUUUGUUUCCUCAUACCCACACCAUUUUUUGUUUUGUUUUUAUUUUAUUUUUGCAGUAAUUAUUUUGCCAGCACUUUUGCCAUCUCAUAGUUUCACCUGGAACCAUUUGCCGCAAAGGAAAGCAAAGCAAAAAAGAAAUAGUUUGAAAGAAAUUUUCCGAUCUUGAAAUUAACUUCUUUCCUCCGGCAAUUGGAGCAUCUCCAGUUUUCUUCCUCUUUUUUUUUUUUUUUUUUUUUUUUUUUGUGCAAAUUCUUCAUCUCUGCCAAGCCAGCAGUUGUUUCGGUGCAAGUGGCAAAGAACUGGUCCGGGUGGAUUUAUUUUUCUACCCUGAACGGCGUGCCAAAUUUAUGAUGAGAGUGCAAAAUGGAUGAAUUUCAUCCCUUCAUCGAGGCUUUACUGCCACAUGUCCGCGCCUUCUCCUACACCUGGUUCAACCUGCAGGCCCGCAAGCGCAAGUACUUCAAGAAGCACGAGAAGCGCAUGACAAAGGACGAGGAGCGCGCCGUCAAAGAUGAACUGCUGGGCGAGAAGCCCGAGAUCAAGCAGAAGUGGGCGUCCCGACUGCUCGCCAAGCUCCGCAAAGACAUCCGCCCGGAGUUCCGCGAGGAUUUCGUGCUCACCAUCACAGGAAAGAAGCCGCCGUGUUGCGUGCUGUCCAACCCCGACCAGAAGGGCAAGAUCCGCCGCAUCGACUGCCUGCGGCAGGCAGACAAAGUCUGGCGUUUGGACCUGGUCAUGGUGAUUCUCUUCAAAGGAAGUCCGCUGGAGAGCACGGACGGAGAGAGACUGGUCAAAUCCCCGCAAUGUUCCAAUCAUGGCCUGUGCGUACAGCCGCAUCACAUCGGCGUGUCCGUGAAGGAACUGGACCUGUACCUGGCCUACUUCGUCCACACUCCAGAAUCUGGACAAUCAGACAACUCAAACCAACAAGGAGAAGCAGAUAUCAAACCUCCGCCCAAUGGGCAUUUGAGUUUCCAGGACUGUUUCGUGACGUCAGGUGUGUGGAACGUGGCUGAGCUUGUCCGUGUGUCACAGACCCCAGUUGCUACAGCAACCGGACCCAACUUCUCUCUGGCCGACCUCGACAGUCCAGGAUAUUACAACAUCAACCUGGGUCGCCGCUCCAUCACGUCCACACCAUCGACUAGGACUGAGAUGGAGUUGUAUGCCAGUCUCCCGCGGAGCUCCAACAAGCGUAAAUCCAUUGAUGACAGUGAAAUGGAGAGCCCGGUGGAUGAUGUCUUCUAUUCAGGUCGUUCUCCAGCACCAGGAGCAUCUCAGCCCAGCGGCUGGCCUAAUGAUGUUGAUGCAGUGCAACACCAUUUGGCCAGUAUGCAGGAGAGGAAGAUAAAACAUGAAAAUGAUGGCGUGCAGUUUCCUUACCAUGGGCUCUCGUCGCCUGGUUCUCUUAAGAAGCCGGGGAAAUUCGAUUUCAGCACUCUGUCCGGCCAUACGAGGUCUGCCCGCAUGCCGUUCACCCAUCACCCGCUGCCCAUGCUGGCAGGUGUGAGACCAGCAGGAAGUCCCCGUGCCUCAGCUUCUUCCCUUCACUUCCCCUCGCCCUCCAUCAUUCAACAGUCCAGUCCGUAUUUCACUCACCCCACGAUCAGAUACCACCACCACCCAGGCCAGGACCCACUCAAGGAGUUUGUGCAGUUUGUGUGUGCCGACGGAUCAGGACAGGCUAGCGGCCAGCCGAACGGGAGCGGCCAGAGCAAAAUGCCGGGCUCCUUCUUACUGCCUCCACCCCCCCCUGUGGCGCGUCCAGUGCCCCUCCCAUUGCCAGACUCUAAAACCAGCAGCACGCCCCCCGAUGGCGGACUCACCUCACCCACCUCUCCGUCAUACUCCUCGCCAGGCUCCACAGCUCCCAACAGGUUUGUCAGCAUCGGAUCACGGGACAGCAACUUUCUGAACAUACCCCAGCAGACGCAGUCAUGGUUCCUUUGACGAGGUCCUGUCUGCAACAAGUCGACACCAUAUGAAAAAAAAAAACCCCAUCCGAUUUGAAAAUCCCCCCGAUGUUCUUCUGACAUCAAACAAACCCUAAUAAACCUUAGCAGAAUAUUACCGGGAAACGUUCAGUCCUGUAUUUCCCAAUCGUCAGACACCCUUCAACUCCACCCCACCUGCCUCUGUUAAAAACUUCAGGAUCACAGGGAUGUUUCUCUCAAGAAUCACCGGAAUGCAAAUGGCAACACUGAGGAAGAACAUGAUGAUCAGAGACAGAAAAUAUUACUAGGAACGAGGAUGUAGUGUACAAUGGCUGGGAUUAUCAACAGUAUCAGUGGUGAGGAUUCACAAACAACAAAAACGCAGGAUUUUUAGGAAGUAACUAACCCAUUUUUGUUUUUGUUUCCAACACACUUCAACAUGCUGAUUUUAAGCAUGGAGAAAACACUAAAAAUGUUAUUUCAUAUUCUAAAAACCUCCAAGCCCCACACGUUUAGCAUUUUUAAUCAGCAUUUGUCGCUUUGUUCCCUUUUUGCAUAUGCAGCCAAUUUAAGAUAAAUUACUAAGCUAAAAAUAUAUACAUGAAAUAAAACAUAGGUACUGCACUACAAAAAUGUCAAAGAACACUAGUUUGAUGUGCACUAUUAAAAAUGGGAUAGACGGCGAACAUAAUUUGCACAUUUAUUUCAGAGAAAAACGACACUGACAACACACUAAAGCUAGCCUGAAAGCCUCAGAGGGUAUUCUCGUUUUCAGACGCCCACCAUCAAAGGCACGAAUAGAAAUGGACUGAUCAAACAAAAGUCCAGUUCAGGCCCAUUCACCCACAGUGCCAACUAUACGUCACAAGUUUUUAGUUGGUACUCCUAUAGGACGAGUAAUGCCAACAACACACAUUUACAUCCAUACUGCACAUCCAAGCUACAAUUUUGAAAUCGUAUGUUUAUUUAAUCAUUUUUUUAAUUAAAGUUUGAAAACUUUACAUUUUCGGAAGAAAAACUAAAAUCUAUCAAAAUCCAGUUUUUUACACCCGCAGCUAAUCAUUACGUUAUUUCUCUUUUCAGUAAACCCACAUGUCCAAGCUACAAUUGCGGUUUGAUUACAAAAACAAAACUGAGAACAUUUUCUCAGGGGAAAAAAAAAAUAAAUAGUAUAAAAAUCUAUUUAUUACAGCCCAAUCAAAUCAUUCAGUUAUUUAAUUUUCCAAAUUUUUGAACUUUCUCUUUCAAUUGAAGCCACAUGCAGUGUUGGGUACAUUACUCAAAACUGGUAAUACACUACAAAUGACUUCUAUGAAAUGAUAAUCAGACUACUUUACUGAUUACUUCCUCAAAAAAGCAAUCAUUUUACUUUUAAAGGUGCACUCAGUAAUUGUUUGAAGGAUGUAGAAGUGGCUUAUACUGACACCUAGUGGCCUGGAUGCUGCACUUGUCGGGUUUUUAAUGUAGAGAGGCGAGGACCCAAUUGCAGGAGGCCAAAGUUUAUUUAAAAACGGCAAAAACAAAACGUUCGCAGAAAGGCAAAAAAAAAAACAGCUCCAGAACAGGAGGGCAGUCGACUGGCUGGGCUGGAGAAGGAAGCCUCAAGGCAUCAUGUAUUCCAACCAAACAAGACUAGAACCAGCAGGAAGCCAGAAUGAGGCCUUGUGAACAGGAAUCAACAGACAUGCAGAACAAGACACCUAAACAAGGACACAACCGCAACAAACUAGCACAGGACAGAGAACACAGGGAGAUUAAAUAGGGAAGCAAACAAGGAGGGUAACAAGGAGAGACAGGUGUAGCAGAUAAACUAAUAACAAGGCAAACGAGGGGCGGGGUUUCACUUAUGACAGCACAGACACGAGUGCACAUGGCAAAUGAAGAGCCAACAAAGCCAUGUGCACUCACACAACACUAGUGUCAGGAUCCAGCCACAAAACUAUAAACACAACCAACCGAAGUGGCAGGAUCCUGACACUAGAAACGCAAGACAGGCACAAACACAGAAACAGGCGACAGGAUCCCGACCCAACGAAAACUCAACUAGAGAGUCGGGAUCCUGACAGCAUCAUUCAAACACAGUAGUUUCCACUGUAGAAAUUCACUAUAGUAAGCCAGGAUGAACUUUUUCCAUGAAUAAAAGUGUCCAGUAACAGGGCAGUUUCUGAGAUUAAGCGAGUAGCAUUCGGCUGGUCAUGUGAUGCUUACAUGGCUGCCCCCAUGAGGCGCCCCUGCCCCUUGUAGAAUAAAAGAGCUUUUAUAAGGUUACUGAUAUGACUGAACUCACAUCAUCUCACAUGAGUGGUCAUGAUUAUAUACAUAUGUUUCAAAUUACUACUCAUUUCUUUGGAAGUAAAACUUUUUAAAUGAAUUACUGAGUGAACCUUUAAGUUACUUUCUAAAAAAAAACAUUUUUACUGAAUAGUUUUCGUUUUUACGAGCAACUCAAAAUAAGAAGUUGCGUUUCUCACUUAUAAUGACUCGUUAUGGGCCGCACACCUAUGUUUCAUGUUUUAAAUGUCUUCUAUAUAAAUAAUUUUAUUUUAAAAAUGUGUUACUCAAGUACUAUUACUUAAAAGCAAUUAACUUACUUAACAGGUACUGUAAUCUGAUUACAAGUAAUAAAAAUGUAAUGUGUUACACUACUUUUUUGACUAAAAAGUUCAUUAGAUUACAGUAACUGAUUGCUUUGUAAUCAGAUUACACCCAACACUGGCCACAUGUUCGAGCUACAACUUUUUUCGAAAAUAAACAAAUGUUUUCCCGGGAAAAAAAUUGGUAUCAAAAUCAAUAUCUUACAACCCCAGAUAGUCAUUUGAUUAUCUUCAAACGUUCUCUUUUUAUCACUGGCCUUUUUUAAAUUAAUUUCUUAAUUGUAGCGAUGCAAAAUACAAGUCAUUAGCGCUAAUAAAGAUGUCCCUAGAGACACGCCCACCUCUGUGUUUUGUAUACUUAUCUGUUUACGCUCCCAGAAGUCCACGUUCCAAGAACAAAGGAUGAAGCUACGGAGCAAAAGAAUGUGUGACAUAUCAUAGCCGUGCUCCGAGGGAGGUGGGCUGCUUUUAUUAGGCACUACUUUUUACUAUUCAGUUUAAUAGUAUCUUUCCAUACAUCUAAAUUUGGUAACGUUUCGGCAUGGCUGUCAUACACACACAUAUACACACAUUAUCCUCCAGAGAUUGACUACAAAGGGAAGCCUCAGUGGUAAUUUACUGUAGGGCAAUCUUCAAACCAUCAUAAGAUAGCUAUUAUGACUUUGCCACAGGUCAUAUCACAACAUUUUAUUUUCAAUGCAAAUGCAAUUAAUAACCUCACAAAAUAACUGGACUGCCUGACCAUGUAUUUCACUGCAGGGAAGCAUUGUUGCCGGAAAGGCGGCGACGCCAUCAGUUUGGUGUAAAGCUAAUGCAAGAAUCAUGAUGGCAAUGGUCUUUUCUUUUCUAAUCAAAGGAAGUGCCUCUGUAUUCCCAUUAUGCAAUUUAUUAAGCAUGAAUUCAGGUUAUUUUCUUGCAUAUAAGCUAUAGAGGAGGGUGAAAUUUUUAUGAGAGAGAAAAAAAAGUGUCAGCUCACUAGUUACAAACAUCUUUAUAUAUACAGGAUAUAUCCAUAUAUAUUUAUAUAUUCAUUUUUUUCUUUUUUUUUCUUGUUUGCCUAAUAAGCUCAGUGGCAGUCUAGUUAUUUUUUGAAGGAUGACAUGAUCAUGAGUUAUCAUAAAUCAGAUAUUCGUUCAGAAGUCCCGAAACCCAGUUCUGCACUUGAUAAUUAGAGCGAAAUUAGUCUUUAGCGGAAAUAUGAUUUCUGUUGAAAACCUUAUAGAUAGUGUAGGAAACAAAAGCACAGCUUUUGAUUUUUAUUUGGUGUUUGGACAGGAAAUAUUUGUUAUUGCGAAAUAAAGUGUGUUGAUUGAGCCAUGUGCAAUGCCUUGGGUAGAAACUGUGUUCGUCUGAUUGUUAGGGUGUACAGGAGCGCGUAGAAGUGAAAAAUCCUUCUAUUAUAGUAAAGUCCACGCUGUCCGGGACUCUAAAUUAAAGGGCGGAGAGCGUGCGAGAGAAAACGGUCUUUGUAAGUUUUGGGAAUUCGUUUUUUAAUCUUUACUUUUCUGCUUUUUUAAUGUUUAUUUGUAAUGAUUUGUUCUCAAAACUUAGGAGGGCUGAAGAAGCAGUUUUUUUUUUUUUUUUUGCAACACGUCAGAAUAUAUCACUAAUUAAAACAGGUGCUUUUUAUGGAUUAAAGUACAUUCAAUCUCUAUUAUACGUAUUAAAACAAGCGUAAGUGUUAUACUACAAAUUUUAGGAAAAAACGUUCAUUGCUCUUUUAUUCCCUUUUUGUAUUUACCAUGGGGGGAGCGGGUUCAUUUUGGUCAAGGUUGUGACAAAAGGCAUUUUUCCUCCAACUUUUUGCCGAUGAAAUCUUCAGUGUUGACAAACAACAUCCUAAGAGGUAGUCGCUGAGGUUUUACGAUUUUUAACUACCUGCACCAUUUUUUUCAACGUAUAUACAGUAAUGAUACAUCAUACUAUGCAUUCCAGUUUUGUAGAGCUUCCACGCAUUGGGUCGCCCAGUUUCACUGAAUCACGAACCAUCAUAGUUCUUAACGAACGUCAUGCACACAGCUGAAACUACGUAGAAAAUUUCAAAGUCAUCCGAAGUUAAUGACAAGAUCUUCCCUGUUUAUGGGAGAGGCUUUAAACAAGCAAAACUGCCCACUUUUUCAGCCGUCUGGGUUCCGGAAGUAUUUCCCCUAUUCAUUUCUUCCAUAGACAUUUAAUAAAAUCCUACAUAAAAGAGUUGUAAGCCAUGAACCAAACCAACCAGCUCCAAGGAGAAUCAAAACAUCAACGUUGUUUUGAGGCUAUAAAGACAAAGGUACAAGACUGUGUACUUAACAUCUUUCAUGAGGGCACAAACUACAAUCCCAUAAACAUUGCGAAUUAUGUCAUUGAAUAAAAAACGAUGGGAAUAUACAAAACUAUUGAUUUGAGGUUGUUGUUUAUAAGUAUAGUAACCAUAUAUUUUGCACUUAUUGCUAAGUAUUCCGAUAUAUACAGAUAUACAAGUAGUUUAAGGGUGAAGACACAGACUCGAUUACGUCAUUCACAGUGCAUUAUGGGAGCGCGCGGUCACUCAGAGGCACGUUCCGUGGGUUUCUUGGCCACGAUUCUCAGAUUGGUGGAUCUUUCUCUGCUGUACCAUGGGUAAUGUAGUUGUUUCCCAUGAUUUCCGCCAUCAAACACGAUUUUUAAAUAAUAACGUUGAAAUAACGCAGAUGGAUGGCUUCAGCGGAAGCAUAUUCACCAUUGAUGAACCUCAUAGCUCACAGUAGGUCUGUCUUUAAAGAUUUAUAUGUUAUCGUUGAAAAUCAGUUCAUCUAUGGGAGAAAAGAAUGGGAUUUUUACUUCCGGAACCAGACUGUUACGCUCUAUUGGCAUGGCCGUGAUUUGAAUUUUUGGUAACUACUAUAUUUUAACAGUAGAUGUAAUUGAGAAUCGGUGAAUUUCAAGAAAAUUUGUUAUAUUCCAAAAUAAAUAAGAAAUUGUAUUUUGUGUAAAAAAAAUAAAUAAAAAAAAAAAUAAAAAAAUUAAGCCUAUUUUAGGACCACUUUUAUUUUAGGUUGACAAUAAAUAUUCUCAGUAAAAUAAAAUAAUAAUAAAAAAAUUGCACUACAGUAAUGAAAAUUGGGGAAUGUGCUUAAUUGGGAAAAAAGUCUUCAUAGUCCUAAAAUAGCUUUUAUUUUCUUUAUGCAAAAUAUUACAUCUUUUUUUUUUUUUUUUAGGCUAAAUAUGACCCAGACUCCCAUCUCAUGGCAAACAAAGUCGGCAACCAAUCAGAAAUGUACAAAUUGAACCCCUCCCCCUGCGAAUCCACAGCGCCCGCUACUUACCCCCCAUCGCCCCCCCCCACUCCAUCCCCCCCCCCCACCCACCCCAUGUAAAUGACUCUAAGUACUUGUUUUGUAAUUUAGUGUUAGACUCAGAGCAUCAUUAAGGUUGUCCCUAAAAAGUGCCUUUUGUUCACAGACUUCAUCUUGUAAUCUUGAGCGCCCAUCUAAAAAAAAAAAAAAAUGCAAAAAAAAAUCCCCUCCUUCAAACUUCUGUAUCUUCUUCUUCUGCAAGUUCUUCAAAGCAGUAUAUAUAGUACUAAAAGAAAUCGGUGUGACUUAGUUUCUCUUUUUAUUGUUGAAUAAUUAAGAAAACUGUAAAAAAAAAUUAAAAAAAUCUGUCUUGCUUUUCCUUCCUCUGUAAUCUUAUCUUGUGCCUCUUUUGGACACUGGAGUAGUCUAUAGUUGCAUAACCAUGUCCCUUUUCUCCGAACGGAGGGGUUUUAAAAUAAAAAAAGAUUAAGAAAAAAGUGUCGUUUGAGCAGAAUGCAGUUAGCUCAUGUUAUUCUUGUCUGUACGCUUCAUGUUGUACUCAUACCGAUUUCUUCAGCUUCUCCAUUGAACAGUUAAUGUAUGUGAACAAGUUACGCCAGUGAGCUCUGGCGGGCGGUCCGACGGAAGGGUGUUUGCCGGAGAAACACUUUUUAGCUGGAAGUUACUAAACUGGUUGAUGCCGACUGCUGGGGUAGAAUAGGCAAGUUUGCGAUUCUUUAAAAUAAAAAUAUUAUUUAUUUUUUUAUUUUGUUACCAAAUUGAAUUUGAUUUGCUAUGAUUUGUUUGUAUUGAUAUUGCAUUGAGAAUCUGUAUCGAUGAUGCACCUUUUUUAAAUGGUUGUACGAGACCAGGUAUUUAAACUGUUGUUAAAAAGUUCCUGUAAAAACAAAGCACCUUACAACGGAAUGGUUUCAGCAAAGGGAAUGUGACAGACAGUUUCAGUACAACAUAAAACAGUACAGAAAUCACAACUUCAAGCCCAGAGUUACGAGCCAAACCCUUAGACCAAAGUGCAAAGAUGCAUGCCACAAAAAUUAACUUGAAAACUCACCAGCAAAGCCAACAUGUGCUCAACGAUGACAGCGUGCUUCUUCCAGCAAACAAAAUUAUGCAAAAUAUCUCACAUUUUUGAGUCAAUAAAGCCAGUAUCCAUGCUGGUUAUUAUUAUUAUUAAUGAUAAGUGAAAGCCAUAGCGACGUGUUUGGCACUUUCAGAGAAUAUUGUCACUCCCUGGUACUGACCGUCCUUUUUCCUUUUUCAUAUUUACUACUUUGUACUCUUUUGUUAUGUGGGGCAUUUGGAUGUUUAGAAUAGCAUGAACCCUCAGCAGUUUUGGUCCUGGUUUAAACUCCACGAGCAGCAUCCUUGUCGGUUCACGUGCCCUCCAGAGCUCAUGGUGAAAUGCAUGUGUUGAUUACAAUUUCUUUUCCAUAAUAAGAAAAACAGUUUAAAAAGAGCAGCGCCUUUAACUGAUUGAAUAAAAGGAUGUUCUUGACUGUAACAAAGACUUGUGUGGUUAUUUUGAUCUUGGAGUUCUAUAGUUCAGUUAACUUUAAUGUCAAAAUUACUUCAUGGCAAUUUUGUACUAUACAUUAGGACCACAGAGCAUCUAUAUAAAUAUAUCAGAGGCACUUCUGUUGGCUCUGCGCCCGUAGAAGUGCUUCACGGAAAUCAAGGUCAUGUUGUUGUGUCAAGUGACUCAGUGUGUCAGAAGUUUAACCCUUAAAUGACAGUCUAGGGCAGGGGUUCUCAACGGGGCGGUACUGCCCACCAGGGGGCGUUCAAAGGAUGCCAGGGGUGCUGAGAGAAAAUGAGUUGAGAGGGGGGCAUUAGGUCACAAAUGGGUGGUGUUUAUCAGUCAUAUUAAUUAAAUCUAUCGUCAAGUUCCUUGUUGCUUAAACAUUUAUUUAGACUUGGAACAUACAAGUUCUCCAUUAUACGCAUUUGUACCGCGGUCAUCCUAAGUAUUAAUGAUGUCAAAUAGACAGGUGAAGUCACAACCUCCGCUAAUGCACCUGUAUGGCUCUGUAGGUGGAUACGGCUCAAUGGACAGAGCAGCGCGAGCGCAGAGCAGGUGCGUUUUUAUUCGCAGAACAGUCUCGAUCUUUCAAACGCGCACCUCUGAUCGUUACAGCACUGUGAGAACCACGGCGCAAGAUGCGUAAACCAUUUGCAUUCGGCACAGAAUUCUCUGGUGCAAACCUCUAUGAAAACCCACAGUGAGUAAACUAGUUUAAAACCACAUUAAACGGCCCGACAGUCUAAAUAGGAUUCACAAGAUGAACAAGAGAAAACACUGUGACAUGCACAAAGUCUUUUCACAUAUGAUCAUAUCACUUCAGCUCUAUAAUAUGCUACAUUAGGGGCGUGAGGAAUAUAAUACAUGUUUUACUACUUAUAAAUGUUUAUAUUUUGUAAUAAUUGUUUUUAAAUGUGUUUAGAGUAGGCCUACUGUUUAAAAUGACAAAAAUGCCAUAGUUUGUUUUAUAGAAAUCAUGUUACAUCUAAUCACAGUAGUGAACAUCCAUGCUUCCGUGUGUUUACUAUGGUCUUAUUACAAAUACCACUGUUAAAACUAUAAAAACAUAUAUAUAUAAAAAAAAUGAUACAUUUUCAUAAGGGCAAAAUGAACUCAAUUUUUUAACGAUGAAACAGAAAUGCCUAAAUCCUAAAAACAAAUUGCUCCUUUUUUUUUUUUUUUUUAAUGAAAGAAAUUAUAACUGGUUUUGUUUGCCUUCAGACAUUCCAAGAGAUGACUGAAUUUAAUCACUAUAAAGCUGAUGAAAGGAGAGUUACAGCUGUCAGAAUAAAUUAGCUACAUAACGUUUCAUUGAUGUCAUAGAUAACCUCACUGUUGUUAAUAUCAGUACAUUUACAUCUGCAUCCAACUCAAAACGAAUGCCGUACUGUAGAAUGAGCAUUUCAGUGGGACAAAGUAUGCAAUAUUAUUGGUCAUUUCACUUAUUUUUGAAAUACACAGCAAAAAUUGGAGUGUUGAAAUUUCAGGGUUAAACAUCUCUGAGUUGAUUUCCACUCCCAAAGUGUAAUUUUAACACAUUCUGAUUUAAAUGGUGUUCAAUGUUGGAGUUAUUUGACAGAGUUGAUCACAUCAGAGAUGUAAUUAAGCUCCGCCCACACAUUUCACUCUUUCGGUUGGAGACAAGGAGACAAGUUGGAGCCAUUUUUCCUCCUCUCAUGAAGUUCUACACGGUGAGUGCAAUUAAGUCAAACUUACUGAAACAAUUAUAAAUUGAUGCUGUGAACUGCAGUAUGUACAAUGAAACAUCUACGGAAAAUAUAUGCUUUAAAAAAGCCUUGUUUGUUGCCAGGACUGAGCAGCAAAUUUGUACAGGUGAUAACAAAUAUUCUUUUUAAUUGUGCCAAAUAACUGAAUGGCCAUUGCAUAAAUUUAGAUGACUUAUUUAAUAUCUCCUCUCAGGCACCUUCCCACUAAAGCAAUCAGAGAAGGGUAUGCUCUUGGAAUAGUGAUCCAUAUUCCAAGAAAGGCUACGUAAUAGUCAUUAUUAUUAUCUGCAUGACACUUUCAUGUCAUACUUGCAUGUUGUGGUACAAAGCUGUGUGCAUGACAUUGACAUUUGAAUUCUCUGAGAUUUCUUAUGAGCCGAGUAUCACAACGCAUUUAUUUAUUUUUCUUUUAUUUCUUUUUUCAUUUCAGGAACACUUCUAUGAUGCUGCAAGCAGCACAGGAUACAUUUCUUGGCAUCUGAAAACAGUCCAAAGGAUGAUUCGUCGAGGAUCUGCACUGCCACCAAAUGGCUCUAUUGACUUUUCUCUAGGAGGCCCAAAUUUCCAAAGGACUGUUAAUGUUGAAAGGCAGCUUGAUGGGGAUGCUUGCCAAGAGGCCAUGUCUUUGCUCAACCAUACCACAGGCAAUUCCUUGAUUUUCCAGAAGAUGAGAGACCUUUCAGCACCGUCAGAAGCUUGUUAAUGACCCAGGCAGAAGUGUUCAUAUCCUCUCCAGCUUCCCAAAAUUCCUGGAUACUAAAGGAUUGGUAAGUUUGGAUUGAGACGUUUGGAAUGGCUUGAAAAUUGAAUGUAUUUCCUGUAGAAAUGGUGGAUCAAGACUUCACUCUCCCAUUUGAUGAAGAGACAUCCUCCAGGCUGCUUCAGAAAUGGGAUGUGUCCUUCAAGCCAAAUGUCAUAAAAGAGGCUAAGCAGCUCACUUCAACACCAGAGUUGCGACGCUUGGUGUGGUAAGCCGGGAAGUGAUCUUGAUGAGGCAACAAGUGAGUUGCAUUUGUUUCGCUUGUUUUAAAGCAUUUGCUAUAAUUGAAGUUACAGUUGCUUCAUUCAUUAUUUUCAUGACUAUAUGAUUAAAGUUAGGAAAUGAAAGCACCUGUGAGAUAGUCUUUUACUAGAUUGAAUUUGUUUAUUGUAUCUCUGAAAGCUGAGGAUAAAUAUGAACAAUAGAUGUCUCAUAAUGCCUCCCUGUUCUCAUUCAGACUUGAAAAGUAUUACAUUUUAAGAGUUUUCAGUUAAUUUUUGUGACUCUUUGUCUCCUUCCACCACCAUCGGGGGACUGAAGUCUCCAAGAAUUAGUGCGUGUGAUGCAGUUAAGUCAUGCUGCAGUUUGGAGGAGCAUCUCUGCCACCAGCAGGGUCAGCAGCCGUACCUCCUCACUGUUGGGCGUCAGAAGAGCAAGACUGACAGCUUCUACAUCACCAUGGAUAAGCGUCUCAUCCCAUUCCAGACAAACUGCUUCCUCAGGGCAUUUGAUGAACUUUUCAAGGCACAUUAAACAUGCGUUUAAUUUGUCUUAUGAUGUUGCAUUCAAAGCAUGAUAUUCAAAGCUCAUACAACAUUUCAGAUGAAAGUUUGUACAUUAUACCUUCAUUCACAAUGUUUUAAUUCAACUGUAUGAAUGACUGCAAGGGUGAAAAGGCAAAAAUAAAUGUUAUUUUUGAAAAUUA
This is an RNA transcript of Myxocyprinus asiaticus (Chinese sucker), 12916 nucleotides long. It is a transcript of the gene named nuclear factor 1 X-type-like, with no coding region annotated. The record is from RefSeq and is a predicted model, not a curated record. NCBI's taxonomy places the organism in Eukaryota, Metazoa, Chordata, Actinopteri, Cypriniformes, Catostomidae. The transcript is spliced from 14 exons.